UAAUUUUUUUUCGUUAGUUUUCAUGGUCAAAAUGAGAGAUCAGGUGGCUGAUCUUAAAAUAAAUCAAUAUUGAUUUUUUUAUAGAGCGUUAAAGUUUUGCGAAGCCAGGGGGCGGGGCUACUUUAUUGACAGUCUGGUCUGGAAUGAUUGACAGGUCCUAUGGAGAAGGCAGCAGAGACUGCUCUCCUCGUUUGGAUUAAUUCUGAUAUAAUAACUGUUGGUUUAUUUAUCGGUGCAGCAGCAGAACAUUUUCCACAGACAGUUUUCCUGCCCGUUGGCUUGUUUUAACCAGUUUUCUGCCUCCAGCUGAUUCUACCAGCAGACACUGAAAAGACUCUGAUAGUUCGGUGUCUCAUGUUCACUGUGAGGAUCUUCUGAGUGAAGCGACCAGCAGAAAAAACCUCAUCUGGAUGUGAAGGAGACUGAAUGGACGACAUCCUCAGUGAACCACUUCCUGUUUAGCUUUCACUUACAGAAGAAUGAAAGUAGCAGUUCCUCCUGAAGGUCAGAGAUUGCAGCAUCUGAGGGCCUCUUCAAAAGAAGACGUAGUUGAUGAAGGCGUUCUGGAGCAGGACCAGAAAGACCACGACCAAGCAGCCUUGAGAUCUUAGACAGCAUCUCCCUCAGGUCCCUCUCUAUCUCCCCACACAUCCACCAACCACUGGAACACAUCUCCAAAGUUCUGCCGGGCCAGCUCAGCUUCCCCUCAGAAGAAGUGGCGCCACCUGCCAGAUGAAGGAGCCUUUUGAGAGGCAGCUGGCAUCGUGAUUGGACUGUACUUUGGUCUGUUCCAAUCCAGCUUCAGCUCCAGAGACGGCAGGCGGGACGAGUCAACGGAGGCCUGGUGGACGAAGGCAUGCAGCUGAGUACAAUCCAGAAAGAGACAUACAUUGUAGAAUUGUAGUAAUUGUGGGCUGACUGAUUUACUGAUUAUCAGUAUUUUAUUUUUUACCGGUUUACGAUAAUAAAUAAAUUUAAAAAUGGCGCUA
Molecule: long non-coding RNA, 989 nt
Organism: Amphiprion ocellaris (clown anemonefish)
Lineage: Eukaryota; Metazoa; Chordata; Actinopteri; Pomacentridae
Exons: 4
Source: RefSeq, a predicted model, not a curated record